GACGAACGCUGGCGGCGUGCUUAACACAUGCAAGUCGAACGGAAAGGCCCUGCUUUUGUGGGGUGCUCGAGUGGCGAACGGGUGAGUAACACGUGAGUAACCUGCCCUUGACUUUGGGAUAACUUCAGGAAACUGGGGCUAAUACCGGAUAGGAGCUCCUGCUGCAUGGUGGGGGUUGGAAAGUUUCGGCGGUUGGGGAGGGACUCGCGGCUUAUCUGCUUGUUGGUGGGGUAGUGGAUUUCCAAGGCUUUGACGGGUAGCCGGCCUGAUAGGGUGACCGGCACAAUGGGACUACGGAUAGGGCCAGGAGCCCUCGGGGAGAAAGCAGGGGGGAUUAUGGCCCAAUGGACGGAGGCCGAAGCGGGCACCGCGGCGUGGGGGAGGCCGGCUUCGGGGUUCAAAACGCAUUCGGCCUGGACCGAGGGGUGGUUACGGUAAUGGGUGAAGGAGCACCGGGUAACUUCGUU
This 467-nucleotide ribosomal RNA is filed under the name uncultured bacterium. RNAcentral describes it as "partial 16S ribosomal RNA". It matches the Rfam family "Bacterial small subunit ribosomal RNA", at positions 28 to 507 of the family's 1533-position model. The record is from RNAcentral.